Non-coding RNA from Cyanistes caeruleus (blue tit), 735 nucleotides. Lineage: Eukaryota; Metazoa; Chordata; Aves; Passeriformes; Paridae. The record is from RefSeq and is a predicted model, not a curated record.
UUGGCUGGUGAUGCCAUUCUCUUACUCUUUCUCUCCCGUUCCACAGCUGAUCUGGAGGUCAGGAUUCCCACCCCUGCUGAAAGUGGCUAAAACAGCAGGUGUCACAGUUUUAUGUGGUGUAAAUGAUACUCUCAUUACCCAGAUGGUCUAAGAAGGCAACAGCUUCUGGGAGGAGUAUGUGUGCACAAAUAGAGGAGCCCACGUUGCAGCUGAAACCAAGCCAAAGAAAUUCUCAGCAUUGAUUCUUCCUUCAGAGGAGAACCGAUACACGUGAGAGAGACUGAGGGCAUGCAGGGGCAGCGUUUGGGGUAGAAGAUCUGAUGGAAAGAGUCUUGGAAGUAUAAGCAAGCACUCCCUAUCUCUUCCUGAGGGAUCUGUGCAGGGCUGAGGGAAGAGAGGGCUUUGUGCACAUUUGUUGUAACUUAAGUGGGAUCACAUCAAAGAGGAGCCUGAUGCCAUGGCCAGCUUCACCUCCUAACGCAAACAGCAUGAAACUCUGCAGAUGUUUUGCCUUGGUCACCUGGAGCAGUUUUUCAAUUUGUACAGUCCAAAAUUAAAUACAAGUCCUGCUCACACAAGGGAUGUGUAUUUUCCAUAGCUGUUGGGGAACCUUGCUGUAGCUCCCUGUGUUUUGAAUUCCAUCCUCAAAAAUCUAUGUAUUUUCAUGCUGCAGAGCUAAUAUGCCUCUCUUUAGCCUAAUGUUCCCUAGCUGCCUUUUCUUUUCCCUUUUUGCUU